UAUCCAAAUUUGAGAUCCCUCGGAGCAGUAUAACUCCAGAAAUCCAGGUAUGAUGAAUGACUGGUUAUUAUUUUUCUGUCAACCCGUCAGAUUUGUUGUGAGCUUCGAAACUCCAUUUUCUAUUGUUCAGAUCGGCAUGCUUUCUUCCUUGAAGUUGUUCCUCAUCGUCUCUUUCAUAACAUAUCAAAAAUUCAGAAUGAACUAAUGGUUAAAUAUUUCCAGAUCUUUGAAACAUCACAGCAGCUUCGAAAUCUGCAAGAAUCCGACUGUCAUGUUUGGAGCUUCAACACUUUAAUUUCCGUCGCUCAAACAGAAAUGGUUCCUUCUUGAAAGUUGUUCAUAUGCUCAAGAACUAUAGGGUGUCCAAAAUUCAACUCCAUUGGAGAAGAGCAGAGGUUGCAGAAAUUUGAUAGAUGAAAGGAGGCGGAAGAGGGGAGAGAGAGAAAAAGUCUCUUGGGUUGGAUUUCUAUUUUGGGGGCAGAUUCCAAUUUUUGUAGCACCUUCAUUAUUGAUGAAUUGCUUGUACUUUUGUCCAUUAUGAAACUUGGGACUUUGGCUUGUUGUUGGAUCUAUUAUAAUAUGUUUGGGAACAUAUAUAAGUGAAUAAAUAAGAAGGAAAAUUUU
This 624-nucleotide long non-coding RNA is filed under the name Malus domestica (apple). Its description in RNAcentral is "long non-coding RNA (MDOM_LNC010023)". The record is from RNAcentral. Lineage: Eukaryota; Viridiplantae; Streptophyta; Magnoliopsida; Rosales; Rosaceae.